UGUCAUGGCGGCUGUGCGUGGGGCACUUUCGAGUGCGCCGGGAUUCUCGUAGCCCGGUCUGCUAACCCGCGUACAGUCGCCACCCAU
Molecule: non-coding RNA, 87 nt
Filed under: Pseudomonas japonica
Lineage: Bacteria; Pseudomonadati; Pseudomonadota; Gammaproteobacteria; Pseudomonadales; Pseudomonadaceae
Source: RNAcentral